Non-coding RNA from Malus domestica (apple), 843 nucleotides. The record is from RefSeq and is a predicted model, not a curated record. Lineage: Eukaryota; Viridiplantae; Streptophyta; Magnoliopsida; Rosales; Rosaceae.
UACACGUUUCAAAGAUAGAAUCAGAGGAUAAAUUUGUAGAAGAGAUUGUAACCCCUAAAUCAUUAAUACAAAUAUUAUUUUGUACACGUGUUCUUGUCUGAUUCAUUGCAGGAAUUCCGUGUUUACACGAUCUCUGUUCUACGGCCUGAGAACCAGAGGAAACGUCACCGUGUCGCCGAUCUCGAUGGCUUCCAUGUCCAACCCCCGAGACAUUUUCUAGGACUUAAAGGGUUGAAGCAGCAUGGUUUGCGUGCGGGAUUUGGGUUUUGGGAGCUGAAAGUUGGAGGGUAUGGAGCUGGAGUAAGAAGAAGAACAAAAGGUAAACCACUAGCGGUAUGUUUUGCUUUGUUUCUCGUUUUGGUUUUUUGGUUUGCUUUUCUUGUUUCUGCUUUCGGAUUCAUACAGUUUUGUUGCUGCUGCUGAUGAUGAUAUUGUUGGUUUUCAUUGGCUCGUCACUUUCGGCUCAGAUGAGGAGAGAGAGGGUGAGAGAGGAGAGAGGAGAGAGGAGAGAGAGUGUUCUUUGCUCGCUCCACAGUGUAGACCAACCAACCACAGUAAAAACUAAGAUCAAAGUGGGCCAACCGGAUGCAACCACGUAUACAAUGAGAGUUCUUGCCAACAACAAAUGUAUACCAUGUUUCUCGUAUAAUUAUGUCAUCAGUAAUUCUGAUCAAAUGUAUUCCCUGUUUCUCGUUUUGGUUUUGAUUUGCUUUUCUUGUUUUUGCAGUAACUUACGAUUUGAAUGCAAAAUCUACUAGUUUUUCGAUUUAUUUAAAUGUCAUUAUAUGUGACUCAUGUAAACUACGUAUGUAUAUAACGCUCUUCUAAUUAUUUCUUUACACA